Molecule: ribosomal RNA, 429 nt
Filed under: Acidobacteriota bacterium
Lineage: Bacteria; Pseudomonadati; Acidobacteriota
Description: Acidobacteria bacterium partial 16S ribosomal RNA
Rfam family: Bacterial small subunit ribosomal RNA
Source: RNAcentral
UGGGGAAUUUUGGACAAUGGGGGAAACCCUGAUCCAGCCAUCCCGCGUGUGCGAUGAAGGCCUUAGGGUUGUAAAGCACUUUUGGCAGGAAAGAAACGUCAUGGGUUAAUACCCCGUGAAACUGACGGUACCUGCAGAAUAAGCACCGGCUAACUACGUGCCAGCAGCCGCGGUAAUACGUAGGGUGCAAGCGUUAAUCGGAAUUACUGGGCGUAAAGCGUGCGCAGGCGGUUCGGAAAGAAAGAUGUGAAAUCCCAGAGCUCAACUUUGGAACUGCAUUUUUAACUACCGGGCUAGAGUGUGUCAGAGGGAGGUGGAAUUCCGCGUGUAGCAGUGAAAUGCGUAGGUAUGCGGAGGAACACCGAUGGCGAAGGCAGCCUCCUGGGAUAACACUGACGCUCAUGCACGAAAGCGUGGGGAGCAAACAGG